RNAcentral lists this long non-coding RNA (386 nucleotides) under Homo sapiens (human). Its description in RNAcentral is "HSALNT0263544". Lineage: Eukaryota; Metazoa; Chordata; Mammalia; Primates; Hominidae. The record is from RNAcentral.
CAUACUCCCGGGGACCGUGUGCCAGUCAGCCCCGUUGAUGAUGUUGCCGUGCACGGAGAAGUCCUGGCUGUGGCAGGGUCGGCGGCUGGUGUCCUGCAUGGCCAGAUUACUGCCAGCAUAGACAGUGCUGAGCCAGCGAAACACAGCAUCAUCUGGUGUGGGCGUGAGCUCGCGGGCAGCCCACGGGGUGCGAGUCAUGUCGAAUGGGUAGGACACCACGAGCUCACCCCCGUGGAGGUGUCAUUGCUGAACUGGACCUUGUAUGAUGUGACCCAGUCAUACCUGGCACUGACCUGAAUGUUGAGCCGUCCUCGGUGUGGUCCAAGACCAAAGGACUGGCUGCUGGAUGCCUCAAGCCGGCUAUCUGAAACUCGCAGGGACUCCAG